GCACGCCGUGGGUAAGAGAUCGUCGGCGCGCCUGACCCUUGCCCUCCGAAGGCGAAGGCCACACGUUCGAAUCGUGUCGGGUGCGCCA
RNAcentral lists this transfer RNA (88 nucleotides) under Bradyrhizobium diazoefficiens. RNAcentral describes it as "tRNA-Arg". The record is from RNAcentral. Lineage: Bacteria; Pseudomonadati; Pseudomonadota; Alphaproteobacteria; Hyphomicrobiales; Nitrobacteraceae.